GUGAACCUGCGGAAGGAUCAUUAACGAGUUAGGGUCUCUCUGGCCCGACCUCCCAACCCUUUGUCUACUUGACCAUCGUUGCUUCGGCGAGCCCGUCCUCACGGACCGCCGGAGGGAUCUUUACUGGCCCUCUGGUCCGCGCUCGUCGGUAGCCCAACCUUUAAAAUCUUUAACUAAACGUGCCUUAAUCUAAGUACAAUUAUUAAAUAAAAGCAAAACUUUCAACAACGGAUCUCUUGGUUCUGGCAUCGAUGAAGAACGCAGCGAAAUGCGAUAAGUAAUGCGAAUUGCAGAAUUCCAGUGAGUCAUCGAAUCUUUGAACGCACAUUGCGCCCUUUGGUAUUCCGAAGGGCAUGCCUGUUCGAGCGUCAUUAUCACCCCUCAAGCCCUCGGCUUGGUGUUGGACGGUUUGGUGGAGGCCCCCUCGGGGGCUCCUGCCCCUCCCAAAGACAAUGACGGCGGCCUCGUUGGACCCCCGGUACACUGAGUUCUUCACGGGACACGUAUCGGACACAUGGGUUUACGGGACACGGUCUGCCUCCCCUCAGGGAGAAUCUUUCUAAGGUUGACCUCGGAUCAGGUAGGGAUACCCGCUGAACUUAA
RNAcentral lists this ribosomal RNA (603 nucleotides) under uncultured Exophiala. Its description in RNAcentral is "eukaryotic LSU rRNA". The stretch from base 217 to 371 matches the Rfam family "5.8S ribosomal RNA". Lineage: Eukaryota; Fungi; Ascomycota; Eurotiomycetes; Chaetothyriales; Herpotrichiellaceae. The record is from RNAcentral.